RNAcentral lists this ribosomal RNA (505 nucleotides) under bacterium 5A2. RNAcentral describes it as "bacterial SSU rRNA". It matches the Rfam family "Bacterial small subunit ribosomal RNA", at positions 832 to 1337 of the family's 1533-position model. The record is from RNAcentral.
CCACGGAUUCCGUGACGCAGCUAACGCAUUAAGUUCCCCGCCUGGGGAGUACGGCCGCAAGGCUAAAACUCAAAGGAAUUGACGGGGACCCGCACAAGCGGCGGAGCAUGCGGAUUAAUUCGAUGCAACGCGAAGAACCUUACCAAGGCUUGACAUAUACGAGAACGGGCCAGAAAUGGUCAACUCUUUGGACACUCGUAAACAGGUGGUGCAUGGUUGUCGUCAGCUCGUGUCGUGAGAUGUUGGGUUAAGUCCCGCAACGAGCGCAACCCUCGUUCUAUGUUGCCAGCACGUAAUGGUGGGAACUCAUGGGAUACUGCCGGGGUCAACUCGGAGGAAGGUGGGGAUGACGUCAAAUCAUCAUGCCCCUUAUGUCUUGGGCUUCACGCAUGCUACAAUGGCCGGUACAAAGGGCUGCAAUACCGUGAGGUGGAGCGAAUCCCAAAAAGCCGGUCCCAGUUCGGAUUGAGGUCUGCAACUCGACCUCAUGAAGUCGGAGUCGCUA